CAACUGGUGGACUGUUUUCUACUUGUGACGUCAGAACACGGCGUCGGGUGUUUCCGAGUGCAUGGAGGAACAGACCUGGGCUUCCUGAAUGGCUCGCGGUGGGAUGAAUAUCCGAGGGAAGGCGUACAUGGCUCCUUGGACAGGGUUGCAUUUGAUCCCAGGCACAGAGUUUAGGAUUCGCUCUGUAAGCCUGGCCUUGUGAGCCAGGACAUCCAGGACUGAGCUCUUCUCCUGGGCACAACAUAAAACACAAGGGUUAGGCAAUAAUAAACUACUGUAUGUUGUUCAGGUGCUCACCACUGACGACAUACCAAACUUGAAAUCCUGGAAAGGAUAGGGCCCUGCAGGUGUAACCACUUCAGUGAGACUAAAGGUUUAACUGUUUCAUGAAUGGAUUUAUGUAAGUGAAACACGGGUCAGACAUUAAAUAACUACUGACUCUUCGUAUGGCUGCGAGACCUGCACAGAGCAAGAGCUGAUUUUCUGCUGCACUUGAAGUACAGUUAGUUUCCCAUAAAACUGAAAACAGCCUGUGUCGGUUUCCUUCCAGUGAUCACAAAUGUUCAUGUCUUGGUGUGCAGCAGUAGAUUGCAUUUCCAAAGGCUACUUGUUACAAUGAAAGCCACCUGGUGUUUAGCCAAAGGAAUGCCUUUAAUGUGAAGGAGCAGCGACAGGAAAUGUACAGUUUGCAUUAGCAGUUGUUCAAAAUAUGUCUAAUAAUACAGUGACCACUGUAAAGAGUGAUGCUAACAGUCAGAACAGGAAGGAAAAUACAUUUUAUUUUGUGUAAAAGACUCCUUUAUGAUGCCAGCAUCCUCAGGUGUAAUAUUAUUUUAAUUAACUGUAUUGUUUGAUGCCAGCCUCUAAACUUACUGCUCAAUUAUUUCUCCACAUCCAAUCUCUUAUACACGGGUGCAGACGAGGGUCACAGUGCUACUGCCUCAAACUAACGCUCAGGUUUUGAAUGUGUCCUGUUGAGCCGACACUAUAAACGCAACUAAAUCGAUUUUGACCAAGCACACACCUUGGUAAACUGCGCAUAUGAGGGCUCGUGCUCUUUGGGGGGAUUUACAAUGACGUCCAUUGCUGCCUGUCCAGCGACAGGAGGGCAGAGGCGGACAGAAAGCAGUUUGAUCAGCUGGACCUUCACCUGUGGAUCCAUGUUCAACACCUCCAUAUAGCCUCCACGAAAACCA
Molecule: long non-coding RNA, 1196 nt
Organism: Cottoperca gobio
Lineage: Eukaryota; Metazoa; Chordata; Actinopteri; Perciformes; Bovichtidae
Exons: 2
Source: RefSeq, a predicted model, not a curated record